This 1462-nucleotide ribosomal RNA is filed under the name Shigella flexneri. RNAcentral's name for it is "partial 23S ribosomal RNA". It matches the Rfam family "Bacterial large subunit ribosomal RNA", at positions 1 to 1498 of the family's 2925-position model. Lineage: Bacteria; Pseudomonadati; Pseudomonadota; Gammaproteobacteria; Enterobacterales; Enterobacteriaceae. The record is from RNAcentral.
GGGUUGUGAGGUUAAGCGACUAAGCGUACACGGUGGAUGCCCUGGCAGUCAGAGGCGAUGAAGGACGUGCUAAUCUGCGAUAAGCGUCGGUAAGGUGAUAUGAACCGUUAUAACCGGCGAUUUCCGAAUGGGGAAACCCAGUGUGAUUCGUCACACUAUCAUUAACUGAAUCCAUAGGUUAAUGAGGCGAACCGGGGGAACUGAAACAUCUAAGUACCCCGAGGAAAAGAAAUCAACCGAGAUUCCCCCAGUAGCGGCGAGCGAACGGGGAGCAGCCCAGAGCCUGAAUCAGUGUGUGUGUUAGUGGAAGCGUCUGGAAAGGCGUGCGAUACAGGGUGACAGCCCCGUACACAAAAAUGCACAUACUGUGAGCUCGAUGAGUAGGGCGGGACACGUGGUAUCCUGUCUGAAUAUGGGGGGACCAUCCUCCAAGGCUAAAUACUCCUGACUGACCGAUAGUGAACCAGUACCGUGAGGGAAAGGCGAAAAGAACCCCGGCGAGGGGAGUGAAAAAGAACCUGAAACCGUGUACGUACAAGCAGUGGGAGCACGCUUAGGCGUGUGACUGCGUACCUUUUGUAUAAUGGGUCAGCGACUUAUAUUCUGUAGCAAGGUUAACCGAAUAGGGGAGCCGAAGGGAAACCGAGUCUUAACUGGGCGUUAAGUUGCAGGGUAUAGACCCGAAACCCGGUGAUCUAGCCAUGGGCAGGUUGAAGGUUGGGUAACACUAACUGGAGGACCGAACCGACUAAUGUUGAAAAAUUAGCGGAUGACUUGUGGCUGGGGGUGAAAGGCCAAUCAAACCGGGAGAUAGCUGGUUCUCCCCGAAAGCUAUUUAGGUAGCGCCUCGUGAAUUCAUCUCCGGGGGUAGAGCACUGUUUCGGCAAGGGGGUCAUCCCGACUUACCAACCCGAUGCAAACUGCGAAUACCGGAGAAUGUUAUCACGGGAGACACACGGCGGGUGCUAACGUCCGUCGUGAAGAGGGAAACAACCCAGACCGCCAGCUAAGGUCCCAAAGUCAUGGUUAAGUGGGAAACGAUGUGGGAAGGCCCAGACAGCCAGGAUGUUGGCUUAGAAGCAGCCAUCAUUUAAAGAAAGCGUAAUAGCUCACUGGUCGAGUCGGCCUGCGCGGAAGAUGUAACGGGGCUAAACCAUGCACCGAAGCUGCGGCAGCGACGCUUAUGCGUUGUUGGGUAGGGGAGCGUUCUGUAAGCCUGUGAAGGUGUGCUGUGAGGUAUGCUGGAGGUAUCAGAAGUGCGAAUGCUGACAUAAGUAACGAUAAAGCGGGUGAAAAGCCCGCUCGCCGGAAGACCAAGGGUUCCUGUCCAACGUUAAUCGGGGCAGGGUGAGUCGACCCCUAAGGCGAGGCCGAAAGGCGUAGUCGAUGGGAAACAGGUUAAUAUUCCUGUACUUGGUGUUACUGCGAAGGGGGGACGGAGAAGGCUAUGUUGGCCGGGCGA